UGCUCUACUCAGGGGGACUCUGCAGCAGCCGAAUCAACUAGUGGCUUGCUAUGUUAAUAAGGAUUUGCCAUGAGUUUAAUUUUUAAUCCCAAAAUUCUGUCUAAUGGACUAGCAAGAAAGUUAGUUACAUGGAUCAUAUCUGAGGAAUGAAAUAUAGUGACUAUCUUGUUUCUGGAAAUGGCUACAUGAACAUAUACCUCUAAAAUACAGAAGAAUGCAUAGGUAGUACAUUGUAAGGUCAUGUGAGUAAAGUUUCAAAGAGGUAUAAUAAUCUCUUUUAUAAUAGAAGCGUUAAAUAAGUAAAGAAAGAU
Molecule: long non-coding RNA, 311 nt
Filed under: Mus musculus (house mouse)
Lineage: Eukaryota; Metazoa; Chordata; Mammalia; Rodentia; Muridae
Description: long non-coding RNA chrX:88393953-88394264
Source: RNAcentral